AAUCUCUAGAAAUGUUUUCCGCGUUGGACCGCACACAAGUCUGUUGGAAUACAGCGGCAUAGUGGUGAGACCCCCGUAUAUGGUGCGGACGCCCAGCGCUUUGUGAUACAUUUUCGAAGAGUCGAGUUGUUUGGGAAUGCAGCUCAAAUUGGGUGGUAAAUUCCAUCUAAAGCUAAAUAUUGGCGAGAGACCGAUAGCGAACAAGUACCGUGAGGGAAAGAUGAAAAGCACUUUGGAAAGAGAGUUAACAGUACGUGAAAUUGUUGGAAGGGAAACGCUUGAAGUCAGACUUGCUUGCCGAGCAAUCGGUUUGCAGGCCAGCAUCAGUUUUCCGGGAUGGAUAAUGGUAGAGAGAAGGUAGCAGUUUCGGCUGUGUUAUAGCUCUCUGCUGGAUACAUCUUGGGGGACUGAGGAACGCAGUGUGCCUUUGGCGGGGGUUUCGACCUCUUCACACUUAGGAUGCUGGUGGAAUGGCUUUAAACGACCCGUC
RNAcentral lists this ribosomal RNA (490 nucleotides) under Rhodotorula mucilaginosa. RNAcentral describes it as "eukaryotic LSU rRNA". It matches the Rfam family "Eukaryotic large subunit ribosomal RNA", at positions 147 to 653 of the family's 3401-position model. The record is from RNAcentral. Lineage: Eukaryota; Fungi; Basidiomycota; Microbotryomycetes; Sporidiobolales; Sporidiobolaceae.